This is a long non-coding RNA of Acanthopagrus latus (yellowfin seabream), 411 nucleotides long. RefSeq lists it as uncharacterized. The transcript is spliced from 3 exons. The record is from RefSeq and is a predicted model, not a curated record. NCBI's taxonomy places the organism in Eukaryota, Metazoa, Chordata, Actinopteri, Spariformes, Sparidae.
CAAGCUAGUUGGCUAGUCUAACGACUAACUGUCACACUGCGGUUGCCUUGACGACACAGGCAGGGUUCGGAUUAAAGAUGGCGGCCUCAUAGCAAUUAAUCAGGUAUUCAUGACCAGGCAGCUGGUUCGGCAAGUGGACUGUCUGAUGUGUCCCCCACUGUGGCACCAUUACGAUGCAACGGAUCUCCUUCACCUGAGGGUUGUCUGGUGGGCUGGUGCCAUACAGAUCUGAGAUGCAGAUAAACUUCUUGAGGACAUUCUUGGGCAGGAUGUACGUGUAGCCCGUCUCUUUGAUGUCAUCAGAUGAUACGUAGAUAUGGUUCGUUCGCAGAUGGAGGUUAGCAGCAGAUAUGGCCCUGAAGGAGGAAAGAAAGAAGUGAAAUUAAAGCCAAUUCAUAUUGAAAACCAAAA